RNAcentral lists this transfer RNA (71 nucleotides) under Ovis aries (sheep). It matches the Rfam family "tRNA". Rfam says of the family: Transfer RNA (tRNA) molecules are approximately 80 nucleotides in length. Their secondary structure includes four short double-helical elements and three loops (D, anti-codon, and T loops). Lineage: Eukaryota; Metazoa; Chordata; Mammalia; Artiodactyla; Bovidae. The record is from Rfam by way of RNAcentral.
UCCCUUGUGGCUCAAUGGUAAAGAAUCUGCCUGCAAUGCAGAUGACGCAGGUUCGAUCCCUGGGUCAGGAA